GGAGGCGUUCGGGCAGCUGGUGCUCCCCACGGUCUUCAAAACCGAUGUGGCCCGGGAUCCGGGUCAGGCGGGUUCGAUUCCCGUCCGCCUCCGCCA
This 96-nucleotide transfer RNA is filed under the name Planosporangium flavigriseum. Its description in RNAcentral is "tRNA-Sec". It matches the Rfam family "Selenocysteine transfer RNA". The record is from RNAcentral. Lineage: Bacteria; Bacillati; Actinomycetota; Actinomycetes; Micromonosporales; Micromonosporaceae.